RNAcentral lists this ribosomal RNA (440 nucleotides) under uncultured bacterium. RNAcentral's name for it is "partial 16S ribosomal RNA". It matches the Rfam family "Bacterial small subunit ribosomal RNA", at positions 338 to 795 of the family's 1533-position model. The record is from RNAcentral.
CCUACGGGUGGCAGCAGUAAGGAAUAUUGCUCAAUGGGGGAAACCCUGAAGCAGCAACGCCGCGUGGGGGAUGAAGGUUUUCAGAUUGUAAACUCCUUUUGUUAGAGAAGCUAAUGACGGUAUCUGACGAAUCAUCACCGGCUAACUCCGGGACAGCAUCCGCGGUCAUACGGAGGGUGCCAGCGUUAAUCGGAAUCACUGGGCGUAAAGAGCGCGUAGGCGGGAUAGCAAGUCAGAUGUGAAAUCCUAUGGGUUAACCAUAGAACUGCAGUUGAAACGGUUAUUCUAGAGUAUGGGAGAGGUAGGUGGAAUUCGUGGUGUAGGGGUAAAAUCCGUAGAGAUCAAGAGGAACACUGAUUGCGAAGGCGACCUGCUAGAACAUAACUGACGCUGAUGCGCGAAAGCGUGGGGAGCAAACAGGAUUAGAUACCCUAGUAGUC